GGCAUAUGGAAUUUCCCAGACUAGGGGUCGAAUCAGAGCUAUAGCCACCAGCCUACCCCAGAGCCACAGCAACGCGGGAUCCAAGCUGUGUCUGAGACCUACACCACAGCCCACAACAACACCAGAUCGGAGCCUCAUCUUUGACCUACACCACAGCUCACAGCAACGCCAGAUCCUUAACCCACUGAGCGAGGCUAGGGAUCGAACCCGCAAUCUCAUGGUUCCUAGUCGGAUUCAUUAACCACUGAGCCACAAUGGGAAUUCCCAAUAAAUCUAUUUCUUGCCCAUCACUUUGCCUCUCACUGAAUUCCUUCUCACUGAGAGAUAAAGAACCUGAGCAUCAGUAAGUCCUGACUCCAGGUGAGUGAUUUUAAUUAAAAGGCAGUGGGUUCGUCAAAUACUGAUUCACGGACUUUGAAAAACUUGUGUUUUUCAAAUGAGACAGGUUGGGGGGGUGGAGGGAUGCGCUGGGUAUUUGGGAUGGAAAUGCUAUAAAACUGGGUUGUGAUGAUUAUUGUACACCUAUAAACGUAAUAAAAUUAAAUAAAUUAAAAAGAAAAAAAAGACAUAAUUGAGUUCGAGCCCCAACCUGAGCUGUGCAUUUUCAGCAGUAAGGAUUAAAAGGGAUGAUUAUGGCAAAGCGUUCAGCACAGUGCUGGGCAUAUGUCAGUGCUGCAUUAAAGGAUAUUGACCUUACAGGAGAACUACCAGAUAAGCAAAAUUUUUAAAUAAAGGCGAGCUGGGAAGAAGCAAAGGUCAAGGAGUGGUGAGGCUCUCUGUGGCAACCCAGGAAAGGUUCUUGGACAAAGCAGGACUUAAACUGGGCCUUGAAAAAUGAGGACGACCAGCCAAAAGGUGAAAAAGUCCUCGUUCACUUCCAAAAAUGGCAAUUGGCAGGACUAUCCAAGGCGAUGACACAUUCUUUCAAAACUCCUUUCCUGAGCGAUCCUAUGGCUUGAUUUCCUGUGUCUUUUAAACCUGUUUUUCCAGGUAAGUACAAACAUCAGAGUGUUAGCUCAUUUACAAUUUAGUCCCAAUUCAAUUUUAUUCUAUUUCAAACUCCUCUGUAACACAACCUAAGAGCACUCACCCGCCAAUAUUUCCUGAAAGAAAAUAUGCAAAGACCCUGGGAGAAUAACAGGAAAUGGGAUGUCAGAGUGGACCUAAGCUACUUUUUCAACAGAAGUCAUAGCCAAUCAUGUGAUUCCUUUCUAGUCAUAUGGACCAGUGACAGCCCCACACCCUUUGACUCAGUGGGAAAUAGUUUCUUCACUCGCUUUUGGGAAAUGCUGCCAGUGAUUCAGCACUACAGGCUGCCUCACUGGGAUGGCAUAAGGGACAUUUCCCUCACAGCCUGCCCACCCCCUUGAUGAGAGACCAGCUUCCCAGGCUCCAGUGUUACUCAUAAGCACAGCUGCUACAAUGCGAGCAUGUCAGAAGGUCAAGGGCAGUCUUUCCUUUACCAACAUGAUUUAGACUCUAGAAGGCUCUUUGAGCAGAUACUGAAUAAUUUAUCACCCAAACAGGGAAACUUUUGAUGUAAAAGUUGUAAUAAAUAAAUACAAUAAAAUGUGGCACUAUUAAUAAUUGUAGAUGUAAAUGGGGAAUGACCCAGACAAACUGGAUAUAUGAUCAUCCUAUCUCAGGGUCUUGGAUCCCUAUAUGGCAGAGAUACUGUAUUAAUUACCUUUGUCCUGGAGGCCUCAGAUUAGUAGGGAAAAUAAGCACAUAAACAGGCAUUUAUAAAUCACUGUAGAGGGCAGGGACCUGCAAGCUACUUGAGGCAGCUUUUAAGAGUGAAAGAAGGGAGUUUCUGCUGUAGCUCAGUGGAAAUGAACCCGACUAAUAUCAUGCGGAUGCGAGUUUGAUCCCUGGCCUCAAUCAGCGGGUUAAGAAUCUGGUAUUGCCAUGCGCUGCAGUGUAGAUUGCAGUUGCAGCUCAGACCCUGUGUUGCUGUGACUAUGGUGUAGGCUGGCAGCUAUAGCUCCAAUUCAACCCCUAGUCUGGAAACUUCCAUAUGCCACAGGUGCGGCCCUUAAAGGCAAAAAAGAACAAAACAAAGAAGCAAAAGAAGAAAGAGAGGCUGACCUAUUUCCAUCUUCAUCAAACAAUGAGGAACAAUACCAGAAUUCCAGGCAGAAAUGUCAUUGAAAAACAAAAGUUGAUCAACGCCAAUAUUGAUCAACGCCUUCCUGUGUAUUGGGCACUUUAUAAAAAUCUCAUUUAACCCAUACUUCUAGUACCUUCAUUUUACCUCCAAAGUCAGAUAGUUUUAAAACAUUAAAAGGAUCCACAUUCCCUUCCCUUGACUCUUGCUAUAAUCAGUGACUCCUGAGGCCAGAUCAUAAAAGGCCAAGCAGCUUCCACCUGGUUUGCUGAAACACACAGCUUGGAUCCCUUAGCUACCAGUAAAAUGUCCAACUACCAGCAGAGACCAUCCUUUAGCCAUCAGCCAGACAUGUAAGAAUCAUUUGAGGAGUUCCCGUUGUGGCGCAGUGGUUAACGAAUCCGACUAGGAACCAUGAGGUUGCGGGUUCCGUCCCUGCCCUUGCUCAGUGGGUUAACGAUCCGGCGUUGCCGUGAGCUGUGGUGUAGGUUGCAGACGUGGCUCGGAU
RNAcentral lists this long non-coding RNA (2615 nucleotides) under Sus scrofa (pig). RNAcentral's name for it is "lncRNA (ENSSSCG00000055198.1)". The record is from RNAcentral. Lineage: Eukaryota; Metazoa; Chordata; Mammalia; Artiodactyla; Suidae.